Molecule: long non-coding RNA, 1744 nt
Organism: Vicia villosa (hairy vetch)
Lineage: Eukaryota; Viridiplantae; Streptophyta; Magnoliopsida; Fabales; Fabaceae
Exons: 9
Source: RefSeq, a predicted model, not a curated record
AUAAUUUAUUAAAAUAUACAAAACCAAAAUUCAAUCAAUUCUUCGAUUACAUUAUCGUCUAAACCUAGACUUGUGAGAUUUACCUCCUUCUCCUCCAAAUCCAAUCGUAACCUUAGACCCUCAUUCAUCAAUGGAGGCGAAGAACGAGCAAGUUGCAGAGUUUUGGAGUCUGAAGUCUAAUCGAGGUAGCAAUCCAGUCGUCGAAGCGCAUGGCGGUUCCGGCCAAUCCAGUCGUCGAAGAAGAAGAGCACGAAGGUCCCACACAUCAUCCUACUGCACCGUCACACGAGUCGCCGUGACGCGAAACGAAGACGCUGAGAUCCAAAUCCACACUUCCCCAUGAAGUUCAACGUUGCAAAUCCCACCAGUGGAUUCUAGAAGAAGCUGGAAAUCUAUGAUGACGUGAAGCUAUAAUUUCUUCCCCUAUUUCACUUUUUAUGUUGUUUCUAUUCACAAGAUUUGUUAUUCUGUUAACUAAAUUGUGUUGUGAAUUCCAGUCGUGCUUUUUGGGACAAGAGGAUCUCUCAAGAGGUUAAUGGUGAUGCUUUGGGAGAGGAAUUUAAAGGCUAUGCUUUCCAAAUUACUGGAGGGUGUGACAAGCAAGGUUUUCCAAUGAAGCAAGGAGUGUUAAAUCUCGGCCGUGUCCGCCUCUUGCUCCACCGAGGAACUCCUUGUUUUCGAGGACACGGAAGGCGUCUGUUGCAUCAUCCUUAUUAGGAACUGUUAGCAGUGAAGAUGCAGUUAACAUGGCUAGGACAUUGGCCGUAAAAGAAAGACUCAUGGUUGGCAUAUCGUCCGGAGCUAACACGGUUGCAGCACUUAGAUUGGCUAGUUUUCCUAUUUAAAUGACCGAUGCAUAACAAAGAGUUAUUAUUUAAAUGACCGACAUCUGAAAAUAAGUAACAGAACUUGAUUAAAGUGAGACAAAUUCUCAGUUGAAUAACUGUCUUUGAAUUGGAAAACCGCAGAUUAUACAAACUAUUGGUGCAGAAUAAGAGUCGUUACUUUUUCCUUUUGAGGAUAUAAUGCAUUAGAUGGUCAUGUUUUAUGUGGUUAUCAUCAUAUCUUUGUAUGUCAGUACAUCAUGCAACUCUUUCUUGGCUCGAAUAUUCACAUUUUUUUUCUUCUCAUAGGUAUGAAGGUGAAUGGGUUCGAAACGACCCCGAGGGUCAUGGUGUUGUUGAAGUUGAAAUACCAGUUAUACUGUUCCUGGAUCCAAGUAUGCAUCUCUGAAGUCUUGCAAAUGGACGGUACGAAAUCCCCUAUUAUGAGAGGAAAGCAUGGAUUGAGGAAUUUGGAGAAAAGCCGUUGGCGUUCAAAGCCUAUUUUAUUCUUGGUGCUGACAUGGGUUGUUGAAAAGGUUUGAGAAUUCCAACAGACAAGUCACAUUCUCAAAGAAGGUUAACAAUGUUUUGUGAACUAUGUAGAAAAAGAUGCAGCUAUCUAGCAAGAAGAGGAUAAGGACAUAGAAAUGUUGCCAAAACAAAAGCCAAAGAAGAAGAAGAAAACUUAUAUAUGAAGAAAGUGUCAUGACUUAGUUAAAAUAUAAUUUUUAUGUGUAUGAUUUUAUAGUACUUGAAAUAUUAUGACUGCACAUGAUUUUGUAUACUUUUUGGUUAAUAUUAAAAAUAUUUUGACUUAGUUAAAAUAUGAUUUUUAUGUGUAUGAUUUUAUAGUAUUUGCAAUAUUAUGACUGAAAAUGAAAUAUAACUAAAUAGUGUAUAUGAAAUAGGGUGUAAAUAGA